CAGCCGCCGCGGGAAUACGUAGGGUGCGAGCGUUAAUCGGAAUUACUGGGCGUAAAGGGCGCGUAGGUGGUUAUGUAAGUGAGAUGUGAAAUCCCCGGGCUCAACCUGGGAACUGCAUCUUAUACUGCGUAGCUGGAGUGCAGUAGAGGGUAGUGGAAUUUCCGGUGUAGCGGUGAAAUGCGUAGAUAUCGGAAGGAACACCAGUGGCGAAGGCGGCUACCUGGACUGACACUGACACUGAGGCGCGAAAGCGUGGGGAGCAAACAGGAUUAGAUACCCCAGUAGUCCCUGUCUCUUAUAC
Molecule: ribosomal RNA, 301 nt
Filed under: uncultured bacterium
Lineage: Bacteria
Description: partial 16S ribosomal RNA
Rfam family: Bacterial small subunit ribosomal RNA
Source: RNAcentral